Molecule: long non-coding RNA, 578 nt
Filed under: Dermacentor andersoni
Lineage: Eukaryota; Metazoa; Arthropoda; Arachnida; Ixodida; Ixodidae
Description: uncharacterized LOC126545498
Source: RNAcentral
ACCUUGAACAUGCACCUUCAGUGAGAAACAGACACACAAGCAGACUUGGAACAGAAGAUUGUCUUUAUAUCACAGUUAUAAUUUUGGCGAGCUUACUUUAAAAGUAUACUUGUUUAAAGAACGUACCAGUCUGGCAUAUGGCAUCUUGCAUUAGCACAAGAGGGCGGUGAAGGUAGCAUGCGAGUGUUGCAAAACCUUAAUGCAGGUAACCAACUUAAGCAGUUUACGGGUCGGUAAAAAACCUUGACUACGGAGAGCUGAGAUAACCAACAAUGCAAGUAACUGGUCUCUCAAGCUUUGCCAACUCUUGGUUUCAACACCCCUGCCACAUUCUGUAAUGUUGGGAACUGACGUGCGACAGGGAGGAUCAAGGCCACAGCGACGAACUGUGCAAGGUGUUCCUAAGCAAAUUGUUACAGCUGUUACUGGCGAACUGCGCUGGUGACCUGAAUGCAACUGUGGAGCAGUUAAAACUCGCCUACAAGCCUCUAUCACGGAAGGUAGUAUCAUUUUAAAUAUGUUGAAUGAGGUGCUUUUCCAUGGCUGCACUUCAUGUAAAUAAAGAAAAUAACACUUGA